CCCUACCCUCUUGUGGUCUGUCCAUCCCACCUGGGCUGUCUAAGUUCACUCUCACAGCAUGGCUUCCUUGUCAACCUUCCUUGGAUCCUCAGCAGUUCAGGAAUGCUGUUUACCAUCAUUCUGUACCAUUCUUUUCCUUCAUAGGAUUUAUGCAGAUCAUGGAGUCUUCCUGUAGAAGAGCUGCUCAAUGAAGUCCCCCACAAGGACCACUCAGAUACUUGGGAACUGAAAACUCAUCCGGAAAUAGCAUGUCUCUUCUAGAGAACAAACUGUGGUUUUUGCUGGGAGUGGCCCUGCCUUCUGAUUUGCUGCCAACUGAAGGAAACAUGUGUAAGGAGGAGGAGAGUUGGAUUCUCAGCUCUGGACAGAUCUAUAUUUAUGGGAUUCCCUGUGCGGUCCAUCAGCUUACUAACCACAUGGCUCACUAGAUUCUGUACAGCUGUCGAGACGGCAACCCAGGCCAUCACUGACCAUCCGGCAGAGGUCAUCGGUCUCAGGAAAGAAGAUGGCCGGAGGAAUUGUAAAAUAUCUCUUACUGCUGAAGAACUGAGCCAGCUCCUGUCAUGCUGCUGACUAAGAUUCCCUCCCUUGAAGGUAAAGACUUUGAUGAUCCCACCAGGGC
RNAcentral lists this long non-coding RNA (622 nucleotides) under Rattus norvegicus (Norway rat). RNAcentral's name for it is "long non-coding RNA NONRATT031964". Lineage: Eukaryota; Metazoa; Chordata; Mammalia; Rodentia; Muridae. The record is from RNAcentral.